UUGAUAAAAUUUUGUUUCUCCCUCAGGUUCCUUCGGGAGAUUCUUCUUCUCAAUCUCAGGUUCCUUUGAGAGAUUUUUCUUUUCAAUUUCAGGCUUUUUCGAGAGAUUCUUCUUUUCAAUCUUAGGUCCCUCUGUGGGAUUUCUUCAAUUUAUGUUCUCUAACGAUCAGUAAUAAAAAACGGUUGUUACACUCUGACACCGGGACGGUGCUUACAACUAGAUCCGAG
RNAcentral lists this long non-coding RNA (227 nucleotides) under Zostera marina. RNAcentral describes it as "long non-coding RNA (ZMAR_LNC005849)". The record is from RNAcentral. Lineage: Eukaryota; Viridiplantae; Streptophyta; Magnoliopsida; Alismatales; Zosteraceae.